Molecule: long non-coding RNA, 326 nt
Organism: Vidua chalybeata
Lineage: Eukaryota; Metazoa; Chordata; Aves; Passeriformes; Viduidae
Exons: 3
Source: RefSeq, a predicted model, not a curated record
GAAACACCCAGCAGUUCUCAGGUGAUGCUCAAGCACUGGAGAAGUAGCAAGAGGACUGUCCCAUGCUGAUCCCAGAGAGCUGCACUGGCUGGCUCCAGCUCACAACCAGCACAGGCCUUGCAAGAUGAACACAGCCCUCAAGUCUGAUUUCUACAACGCCAGAAUGACCCAGAAUUCACAUUAGGAUAUGGACAUGCUUGUGCACUGAUGGAUUUAUUUAUUGGUUUAUGGGAUGUGCAUCCAGCCUCAGCCAUCAGCCUGUGUCCACUUGGGUCAUGGAAGAGCGAGCCAAAAAUCACCAGAAAUAAAAUAAUUUCUGAAUGCUA